RNAcentral lists this ribosomal RNA (492 nucleotides) under uncultured bacterium. RNAcentral describes it as "partial 16S ribosomal RNA". It matches the Rfam family "Bacterial small subunit ribosomal RNA", at positions 29 to 507 of the family's 1533-position model. The record is from RNAcentral.
AGUGAACGCUGGCGGUAGGCCUAACACAUGCAAGUCGAACGGCAGCACAGUAAGAGCUUGCUCUUACGGGUGGCGAGUGGCGGACGAGUGAGGAAUACAUCGGAAUCUACUUUUUCGUGGGGGGUAACGUAGGGAAAGUUACGCUAAUACCGCAUAAGACCUACGGGUGAAAGCAGGGGAUCUUCGGACCUUGCGCGAUUGAAUGAGCCGAUGGCGGAUUAGCUAGUUGGCGGGGUAAAGGCCCACCAAGGCGACGAUCCGUAGCUGGUCUGAGAGGAUGAUCAGCCACACUGGAACUGAGACACGGUCCCGACUCCUACGGGAGGCAGCAGUGGGGAAUAUUGGGCAAUGGGCGCAAGCCUGAUCCAGCCAUACCGCGUGGGUGAAGAAGGCCUUCGGGUUGUAAAGCCCUUUUGUUGGGAAAGAAAAGCAGCUGGUUAAUACCCCGCUGUUCUGACGGUACCCAAAGAAUAAGCACCGGCUAACUUCGUG